CCUUGAUGAUGAGUUCCACUUCAUGGUCCGUGUUUCUGAAUUCGAUGACGUUGCGGAAGUUCUGACAUU
Cavia porcellus (domestic guinea pig) is the source of this 69-nucleotide small nucleolar RNA. Its record names the gene SNORD18. It matches the Rfam family "Small nucleolar RNA SNORD18". From Rfam's summary of the family: U18 is a member of the C/D class of snoRNA which contain the C (UGAUGA) and D (CUGA) box motifs. It is encoded in introns of ribosomal protein L1 in Xenopus and human, and in introns of elongation factor 1 beta in yeast. Related snoRNAs in Arabidopsis and rice have been named R63 and Z106 respectively. Lineage: Eukaryota; Metazoa; Chordata; Mammalia; Rodentia; Caviidae. The record is from Ensembl.